This is a long non-coding RNA of Macadamia integrifolia, 1099 nucleotides long. RefSeq lists it as uncharacterized. The transcript is spliced from 2 exons. Lineage: Eukaryota; Viridiplantae; Streptophyta; Magnoliopsida; Proteales; Proteaceae. The record is from RefSeq and is a predicted model, not a curated record.
AAAUUGAAAAAGGAUUUGGGAGAAGGAAUAUGGUUUUUGUUAAUUCCCUCUCUAAAAUCAAACAUUCUCCAAGUUUAAAAGUUUAAUACAUUAAUCCUUCCUUGAGCCGGGAUAUCUUGUCCGGUUCGGUUUGAUUCGGGGCUUAAAGCACAAGGGUUAUCUCCCCUUGUUUUUUGAUUAAAGCCGGUUUAAGGUUCCUCCAUUAGUUGAAAAGAAUAAAGGGAAUAUUUACUUGGCAAGGACGAGUCUUCCUAGUGUGCUCAAAGCGUACCUAGAACUAUUUCAAAAGGAUUUUUCAUUAUUUCUUAGUUUGCGCUCCAAUGAAAUGACACCAAGAGGGCGAAUGGUUAUAACAAUGUUAGGCAGGAGAAGUAAAGAUCCCUUGGGUAAAGAGGGUUACUUUUGGGUGCUCUUGUCCAAGUCACUGAAUGAUUUGGUGUCAGAGGUAUGCUUAGUGCUUACCAUGUAUAUUAUACUUACAAAUUUAAUGGUUAUUAGGAUUGAUUUUCUUCUCAUAUUCUGAUUGUUAAAAUUUUAUUAAUUUGAUUGAAGAAGCUCAAGUUGAUUCAUUUAAUUUGCCCUUCUAUAUGCCUUCUAGUAAAGAGUUAGAGGCUGUAGUUCGUGCAGAAGGAUCAUUUUAUCUUAAUCAACUAGAAAUCUUUGAUGUCAAUUGGGAUGUGAGUGAUGAUGAUGACAACAAAGGCUUCAUGUUUGAUAGAUGGAUAAGUGCGCAGAAAAUGGCAAAGUGUAUAAGAGCUGUAACAGAACUCAUGAUCGCUUGUCACUUUGGAAAUGCUAUAAUUGAUAUUUUGUUUGCUAGGUACAUGGAGUAUGUUAGUGAGCACCUCUCCAAGGAGGAGGGUAAGUUUGUUACUUUUGUCAUUUCCUUGAGAGGAAAGUGAAGCUUUGAGACUUUUGAAGAGGCUUAGAAUAAGAAAAGAAGUCCUUUAUUUAUGCUUUAGCUGCCCAGAGGCAGCCAACCCUAUUGAACUAGAAAAAAAAAAUGUUAAUGUUGCAGAUCCACCUUUCCAAUAUAUUUUGUGAUUUGGAGGCAGAUUGAUGGAAAUUUCUUGAUCAAUUAAUUCAUUCUUUUCUCGCA